AUGUAUGCUGAUGGCAUAUUGUUGUGUUUUUGUGCCAACCCCUAGCCUCAUCGUACCAUUCUUCAAAUUCUUUAACUUCUUUGAAUCGAUCACUAACCUUAAAGUUAAUGUAUUUAAAUCGGAGAUCUUCUUUCCUAGAUCAGUAAGUAGGGGAGGUUGUGAUAGUUUUCAUGUGAAGGAAGAUAAAUUUCCUUUUUUAAGUAUCUUGGGG
Molecule: long non-coding RNA, 211 nt
Filed under: Musa acuminata (dwarf banana)
Lineage: Eukaryota; Viridiplantae; Streptophyta; Magnoliopsida; Zingiberales; Musaceae
Description: long non-coding RNA (MACU_LNC003311)
Source: RNAcentral